GACGAACGCUGGCGGCGUGCUUAACACAUGCAAGUCGAACGGUGAAGGGACCGGUUUUUGCUGGUUCUGGAUGAGUGGCGAACGGGUGAGUAACACGUGAGUAACCUGCCCCCUUCUUCUGGAUAACCGCAUGAAAGUGUGGCUAAUACGGGAUAUUCUGCGCCUGCUGCAUGGUGGGUGUGGGAAAGAUAUUGUUUCGGUGGGGGAUGGGCUCGCGGCCUAUCAGCUUGUUGGUGGGGUGAUGGCCUACCAAGGCGGUGACGGGUAGCCGGCCUGAGAGGGUGGACGGUCACACAGGGACUGAGACACGGCCCAGACUCCGACGGGAGGCAGCAGUGGGGAAUAUUGCACAAUGGGCGCAAGCCUGAUGCAGCGACGCCGCGUGAGGGAUGGAGGCCUGCGGGUUGUAAACCUCUUUCGCCAGUGAAGCAGGCCUGUCCCUUUUGUGGGUGGGUUGACGGUAGCUGGAUAAGAAGCGCCGGCUAACUACGUG
Molecule: ribosomal RNA, 493 nt
Filed under: uncultured bacterium
Lineage: Bacteria
Description: partial 16S ribosomal RNA
Rfam family: Bacterial small subunit ribosomal RNA
Source: RNAcentral